This 889-nucleotide small RNA is filed under the name Histoplasma capsulatum var. duboisii H88. RNAcentral's name for it is "Histoplasma capsulatum H88 hypothetical RNA". Lineage: Eukaryota; Fungi; Ascomycota; Eurotiomycetes; Onygenales; Ajellomycetaceae. The record is from RNAcentral.
CUCCUCGUUCCUGUUAUCUUUCAACAUUUGCCGUAAGAUUUUCUGUGCUAGACGAAGCCAGGAUAGCAAUACAGUGAGAUCUGCUGCAAAGUGGCAGGCUUGCUAUUCGUAUGAAGUCUCUUGGGGGUGUUUGAACGGGUUUAUUCAAGUGCACGAACAAGGCAAGGCUGUGUUCCCUGCGCUCUUUCCACACCAAACGAAACUAAAAUAUUAACGUAGAAAUACUACCGUUGUUAUCUUUACUCUCAAUGUUUUUAGGUAUAUGCAUGGUGAGCUCCUCCUGAAUUCAACUAACCCCUCCAACUGUGAAGGUAGCCUCACGUUUUCUUUUAGUUUCAUUUGUGAUUAUAUUCUUCUCACCACCAUAUUUCAUGAUUUGUGUAGCUGUUUCGAUACCCAUAUGUAAAGCAAAUGCCAAAAUUAGUAUUCUUUCAUAAGCUUUCUAUUCUGGGUUUGAAUAUAUAUAUGCAGGAUAUAACCAUCAGAAUCCAAAACCCCACCACUCUCACAAGGAUAAAAAAAAACGCCAUAUCGCUUCUGAAGGAAAACAAUUAAAAACUAAAUAAUUAAUCAGACAGCCUCGUGGUUUGUGCAUGAUCGAGAAGCCAAGAGAGAAAGAGCGGUGGAGAUCAGUAGCUGAAAAGCAUCGCAAGUAUUUAUGCAUGCAGAGUUGCUUCCACCCAAAUAAGUCUAUAUCUAAGUAUGCAUAGAGUCACCACCCUUCCUUCUAUUAAUUAUCCUGUCUUUCCAUGGGGUCAUAGAUUCUUGCCCGUACUGCGUUAGGUAAUGAAAUUGCCAAUUUCAAGACAGCUGAACGGACAUGCCACAUUAUAUUGAUGAUAACAUCAUGAUGAGAGAACAGCGUUUUCGUAUAUAUAGUCAGUAAAAG